This 253-nucleotide ribosomal RNA is filed under the name uncultured bacterium. RNAcentral's name for it is "partial 16S ribosomal RNA". It matches the Rfam family "Bacterial small subunit ribosomal RNA", at positions 524 to 776 of the family's 1533-position model. The record is from RNAcentral.
UACGUAGGGUGCAAGCGUUACUCGGAAUUACUGGGCGUAAAGCGUGCGCAGGCGGUUUUGUAAGUCUGUCGUGAAAGCCCCGGGCUCAAACUGGGAAUUGCGUUGGAGACUGCAAGGCUUGAAUCUGGCAGAGGGGGGUAGAAUUCCACGUGUAGCAGUGAAAUGCGUAGAGAUGUGGAGGAACACCGAUGGCGAAGGCAGCCCCCUGGGUCAAGAUUGACGCUCAUGCACGAAAGCGUGGGGAGCAAACAGG